Molecule: long non-coding RNA, 1265 nt
Organism: Phragmites australis (common reed)
Lineage: Eukaryota; Viridiplantae; Streptophyta; Magnoliopsida; Poales; Poaceae
Exons: 6
Source: RefSeq, a predicted model, not a curated record
CCGCUGCUGUCUUCUGCCCGUUCCACGUGCGCGUUGGUCCUUCCGCCGCUAUCUUCUGCCCGUUCCACGUGCGCUCGCUGGCGUCCUCGUGCUGGGCCAUCCGCGUGUCUCCGGCGCGUUCCUCGUGCCCAGAUGCUUCUGGUGCCUCUACGUGUCGGGAGUGUGGGCGCCUGGACAAACUGGCCCCCCCUUCCCCUCUCCCCCUUGCUUCCUGUUUUGGCUUGCAGUCGAUUGGAUCUAGAUUGCCUGGCCCUCUUUCUUCUCUUUGCUUUUUGCCUCUCUGUUGCUUCCGAGUUACGAAGUACUGGAAGAGGAUCCAUUCUGAUAUAAUCUUGCUCAUCGCAUCAGCACAGGAAGAUUUCUUCAGGUUUGCUUCUGCUCGUUAGUGCUGGUUCCUUUGUGUUGUGGGUCUCUCUCAUAUUGGCGCACAGAGGCCAUUUUCCCUGCUUUUGGUGUGCUCCAUUAUCUAUUACAGCGACGGCAUAACACGACGAAAUUUGUUGAAGUUUGCUUCUACUCAUUAGUUCUGGUUCCUUUGUGUUGUGGAUCUUUCUGUUAUUGGGUCUGCAACAAUUGUGACACAGAGUUCAUCUUCUUUGCUUUUGGUAAGUGAUGUGUUCUCCUUUUAGUGUUGACAGGCAAUUUAUUUAGAGUCAUAUUAUUUGAAGAUGUUAAUAUUUAUUAUUGUGUGCAUUCUAUUAUUGUCCCUAUUUAAAUACUUAUCUAUAUUGCAUUGCCCUGCUACGCGUAUAACUAUUACUGAUAGAUUUUCCUUUUUUUCCCCUCUUUUUUUAUUAAAAAUUUUCCUCCCCUCCCCUUUUGCUUGUUUUGCUCCUUUUUCUUCCUUUCCCGUCCACUCUGCUUACGUUCUUAAUCACAAUGUUUUCCCUAUUUUCUGUUUCUCCUUCCACUGCUCCAUGCCGCGGGAAAAAUUGCUAACAAUAAUAAUAAUGACAAAAAUAAUCGUUGGCGGGGAAUGAAAAACAUAGAAAGGCACUGUCGGACAAAGUAAUCUAGAAUAACUACAUGUUUACGGUUGGAGCUUCUUAUAUCUCCCUUUUACAAGCUGUGGCGGUUAAAUGCUGCUUGCCAUACGCUUCGUUACUCUGUGAAGUAGUCGACGAUGGAACCGUACUUUGUGGAGUAGAAAUUGAAUUGCCCCUCUUGAGUUUUCAGACCAGCCCGCGGCAGCUCUUUUUCUGGUCAUGUGCUGACAUAGGGUGUACAGCCGCUUAUGAGGAGGCUGCUCUUCAGGCUGUCACCUG